AGGAUCAACGCUGGCGGCGUGCAUGAGACAUGCAAGUCGAACGGACGAUCGAAGCUUGCUUUGAUCGUUAGUGGCGGACGGCUGAGUAACGCGUGGGUGACCUGCCCCGAAGUGGGGAAUAACUGCCCGAAAGGGUGGCUAAUACCGCAUGUGGUGGUGCGUUCAAUCGCACCAGUAAAGCCGCAAGGCGCUUCGGGAGGGGCCUGCGUCCGAUUAGCUCGUUGGUGGGGUAACGGCUUACCAAGGCGACGAUCGGUAGGUGGUCUGAGAGGACGAUCACCCAGACUGGGACUGAGACACGGCCCAGACUCCUACGGGAGGCAGCAGUCGGGAAUUUUGCGCAAUGGACGAAAGUCUGACGCAGCAACGCCGCGUGGGGAUGAAGGCCUUCGGGUUGUAACCCUUUUCUCAGGGACGAUAAUGACGGUACCUGAGGAAUAAGCCACGGCUAACUACGUGCCGAGCAGCCGC
RNAcentral lists this ribosomal RNA (471 nucleotides) under uncultured bacterium. RNAcentral describes it as "SSU rRNA". It matches the Rfam family "Bacterial small subunit ribosomal RNA", at positions 26 to 518 of the family's 1533-position model. The record is from RNAcentral.